CCACCCUGGCCAUUGCAUAUAUUACGGGAGAUGCACAGAAGAAUAUAUUAAUAACUUAUAUUGGAAUGGUCUUUGGUGGAGAUUAUAUUUUCACAUGGACAAACUUCAUUGGCUUAAAUAUCAGUAUUGCUGGGAGCCUGGUGUAUUCCUAUAUCACUUUCUCUGAGGAGCAGCUGAGCAAACAGUCGGAGGCCAGUAACAAGCUGGACAAUAAGGGGAAAGGAGCAGUAUGACCUGAGGAUUGCUUCAGCCACCUCGGCCAAGUUUAUGAUCAGCUCGGGACGCUGGCAUUUCCUACACAGAUACGGAGGGGUCUUGGUUACGGAGGACAUACCGUUUCUUUGCACUUGUACAAUCCGAGGAUUGAUUGCUGCCUUUUUAAAUCUUUUGAGAGAAACUUACAACUGAUUCUUUUAAAUAUGCCAUUCGAAUUAAUUUAUAUCAGACUGGAAAACGUACUGGGCUUUUUAAUUUAUUUUUCUUCGAUGCUGACGGUGAAACAUCCAUGUUUUGAAAAUAGUUUAUGCCAUAGCUUGAUCAUCCAGGUGUCCCUGGGAGCUGCAGAUAGAAAGCGCUCCAGCCGGAGCCUCAUCAGUCGCACCAUUGCUGCGUCUGGAGGCAGCUUCGCAUUCCUCUUGCUGGAAACGCAGCUGAGUAUCUGACUUCCUCUGCUUUGAAUUUUCUUUCUGAGCGAUUGCAUUUUCUUCAUAAAGAUAUCAUCACUGCUCUCGCCAGAGAUGACACCUUUGGCACUAAAGAAACAGGUGCGGCUUUGCUGUGUAUGAGUUUGCACAUUGGCUUCCCUGAGAACUCACGGGAUGAGCAGUGUAUGUUCCUUGAAAAUAUCCUGUUCCCUCUUUGUGGGGUGGGGUGGGGAUGAUGAAGGGAUGGAGGAAGUAGGCCUUUUUUACUCUUUUAUUCAUCUGAGUCACUCAUUCAACUAAAGCGUAUUGAGUAUGUGAUACGUGCCAGGCAUUGUGCUCCGUGCUGGGGGUAGGAUAUUGUUGGAGUAGAUGCCUGAUCUCGCUUCCGCUGUAGUGACCAAGGGUGACACUGAGAAUUUAGCUCUGUUGGUUUAUUCAGAAGACAUGGUGACGAGGAACAAGUCAUGGAAACUUUUCAGCUCUCAGAAAGCGCAGGUCUGGGAAUGGGUUUAAAAGCCUCUGUCUUCAGCCCAGAGCGAUGUGAAACUGAAUCCUACACUGUAGCUCAAAUGCACGGGGAAAGCUGCCGUCGUAAACCUCGCAGCUCAGCCUUUCUUCUCCGGGAAAAACAGCAAGCAGGUGAGCACCAUCUCUUUCGCCACGCUUCCUGCCUCUGGGUUUGGUUGCUCCUCUUUUUCCUCCUCUUGGAAUCCACGCGGCUCUGUCUUCCAUUUCUGAAUACCUUGGUUUGAGAGGAAAGGCAGUUGAGAUUUUCUGCCUUGUGGAGGCUCGGACUUUGGCAGCAGCAGUGUCAGAACCAGCACCUUCCCUUCUGCUUAAACGGAGCAGCAUCCCUCUUUCUUGUGGACCCUCCCACCUCCGUCCCACAUCUCUCGGUCACUUCCUACACAUCCUCCCUCCUCUCGGGAGCUGGGCUGCCUCCUGCGAGAGCAGCUGUGGGUGGACGUUGCCUGAGUUGCCUCUCUGGGUGAGUCGGGUGUGUUAACUCACACACAGUAGUGUGACUUGGCUUAAGACACCUGUUGACUUUGGAGGUGGCGUGUUUUCUCAGGCAGCUGUGCAGUCAGUGUGCAAGAGGUUGGGUACUUCCAUUUCAUUAGGUUCGCAGUUUACUGGGCGUUGUUGACCUAAGCAGUUCAUGUUUUGAUGCCUCAAAACAUGAGGAGACCCAGAAGGUUUUGAUUUCUUUCUGUUUUUGAAAAAGGAUCGUGUUGCCGUCGUUUUCAUAUUCGUAUAUUUCCCUGACUUUAGUUUGUCGGCAUCAAAGCUUGGCCCUUGGUGCUGGGUCCUUAGAAGUAGCCUCAUGGUUGGCUCCUAAGUUUCAGGCUCCCUGUAACUUGGUUUCCAGUAUUUUGUGAGCGGAGAAAAUUCAAGCCGGGAGAAAAGGAUACUCUGUGCAAGACAUUUUAUGGUGUCUAAUUGUCCCUAUUUUUAUUGAUACGAAAGCAAGACUCAGAGAAAGUGAGGUGACUUGAUGAUAAGUCAAAAUUCCUGUUUUUUUCCCCGAAACCAUGCUGCCAUUGACAACUGCUCUUCUUCUCUGAGGGAGUGAGAAAAUGGGGGUGCCAGCCGAGCUAGCUCGAGUCUUUCAAGGAGGCGCUGGUUGAUUGAAUAUGGAGUCGAAGAGGAACAGGCUUUGCAGAUCAGGGGGAGUCACUCCACAGGCGAGAGCUUUUAUCUCCCUUUCAGGCUGGCCUCAGGUGACAGGCACUUCUGGCUAUGAACUUUACUUGCCACCGCCGGAUUUUGCCGGGGGACAGUGAAAAGCUGCCAUGAGAGCUGACUUGAGCAGUUCUGUUCCUCCUUCCAUCAGCCACAUGAAGGAGGACGCUUUGAUGUUAGAAGUAGUUUGUGCGGUAGAAUUUCUCAGCAUGAAAGGCCUUCGGUUGCGUUUAGAGGUGUUGGGCCAGAACCCCAUCAGGGGUUGAGCUUCUUCUUGGGGCUCAGGUUCCCUUGAAGAUCUGCCAUCUCUCCGGGGUUAUUUGAGGAAAUCAUGUGUGGUUAUAGCUUCCCUAAAUGAACAUGACCUCAGGGCCCCUGGCCUGUGCUGAACUUUCUGACCGACUCGAAGCAGUAGAGCAGUGUAAGCUUUGUCCUUGUCCCUGUUGAUUCCUUGGUGGCUGCUUCACCAGCUACCAGCAUUUGAAGAUAAGAGGAAGAAGCCUGGGGAAGGGGGAGAUUGAAUAGACUGGCCGGCUGCUUUUUUUUGGCUGUGCUCAUGGUAUGCACCAGUUCCUGGGCCAGGGCUCAAACCUAAGCCAUGGCAGCGACAAUGCCGAAACUCCCAGCCAACCAUGUUGAAGUCGAUUUGCAGCCUUGAUUAUAGAACAUGAAAAGAUUUACCUGGUAUUCCAGCAUCUUAUAAGACAAGCAUUCUUUGGCCUGUUAGCUACCACCUGGGAGACAAAGAGACCAUAUAGAGUUAAAUCCUUCAUUUGCCCUUGGAGACAGAGGAGCUGUGGUGAGAAUCCUGAAAGCCGCAUUCUGUGACCACUGGCUCCUCUUCUUGAGUCAGGCACAGCAAAGCCCUCUUUGGCCAGUCUGUUUUCCAGUCAGUGCCAGAUUACUUUGAAUAACCCUGGUUGGCCAGGCGACACAUGGCCCAAUGGCCCAUGAUUUUUUAAAUUCCUUUCUAUGGCUGUUGCCUCUAUGAGUCAGUCCUUAGCAGGAUCCAACGUGCCUUGUAGGUUAAGAAAGAAAAGUAUGUUUGCAGGCUUUCUGAGGUCCUUAUGUACCAGGAAUGCGUGGAAAGCUCACAUCAGUGAUACUGAUGUAGGGUCUUCCCGGAAAGAACAGGAGAGUUUCACUUUGGUCCGUCUGGAAUAGUGCCCGGGAUUUGGGGCGGGCCUGCCUUUGCUUUUGUUAUUAUGGUUUUGAUUAGGGAGUGAAGAUUGUUUUAUGCUAGGCAUUAUGCUAAGCUCUGGGGCAGCUGAGAUGACGAGGACAUGGAUCUUGUUCUCCAGGAAUGUGUAAUUCUUUAGCCAGACUCUAGUUGAGAAAAAGAAGCAGAUUUAUGAGUUAAAGCUACCUGCGCAGUUGUCAGCGUCGCUGCCGAGGGGUGUCUCCCCCACAGAGCUGAAUGAAGCACUUUUUUAGUCUAAGGGGGGAUUCACACUAGUCCUCUAGCCCUGAGUGCCAGGCUGUUAGAAUUGUGCCCAUAGUCUGGUCCCUCCUGCCUCUCCUGCACGUAUCCUGCCUCCCCAGGGCUGUGUCAUGUUGGUUCUUCCUAUGAACAGGGCUGUAAUUGAUUUGUCCUUCCCUGGGGGGAGAAUAAUAACAUUCAGAAUAAAUGAGACAACAGAUGCAAACUACUCAGCACAAUGCCUAGUACAUAUUAGGCACUCAGCAAAUGUCACUGUCCUUUAUUUCAUGGUGAGACUAGAGGCAAAGAGUAAGACUCUUAUUAAUUUGCGCUCCUUCAAUGCUAGAGGCCCGGGCAGUGUAAAUUACCUUUUAAAAUGCGACCGUCUAUUUUGUUGCUUCUCGAAUACAUUUUAAAUAACAGUUUCUGUUCACGGUCUUUUUAAAAAUACCUACUUGAUAUAAUCAUGGGUGACUCUUGUGUGGUGCAGGUGCCUCCACCUGUUUUAAAAAAAAAAAAAGUAUUUGCAUAUUUUGAUACAUUUCAAAAAAGAAAAAUUAUUUUCUAUCUUAGAGGAAGACAAUGACACUUCAGAAGGGUGAUUCAGUUAUAGGUUUCCGUUGGCCACCCUAAAGGAGCCCCUGGGUCGGUCAGACAUUCGCUCUCCCCUUCUCCCGAUUAAAUGCAUUAACUUCGUGCUGGCUUGAGUCCAGCUUCAUCUCAGUCGCUGGCCUUUGUGAACCUCUGGCGCCAUCACUGUUCUCUAAACCCAUCUCCUGCUUCUUCUUCGUACCAUGCCCCUUCAUCGUGGAAUGAGGAGAUACUCUACGGUGGGUCUUCUUUUUAAGCUUUCUUUUUUGAAAAUACUUUUUUAAAGGAAAUCUACUGGUUAGAUUUUUGUCUCACAAAAAAUGUUUUUAGAGAUUAUUUUGUUCAUAAAUGUUUCUUUCUCAUGCUGAUGAUCAACUGAUUUUUUUUUGUCUACAAACGUUGGCCUAUCACAGUAUUUUUUCAAUAUAGAUUCUAUUUACCAAAUGACCAUUUUAGUGUUUUUAAAAGGUACUGAGGAUUGCGAUAUGUAAAUCAGGUGACAUAAAUAUGAAAAUUAUGUGCCUAAAUAUUUUUGUAAAGAUAUCCAAUAAAUAACUUUUUCUU
RNAcentral lists this long non-coding RNA (4902 nucleotides) under Sus scrofa (pig). RNAcentral's name for it is "lncRNA (ENSSSCG00050074579.1)". Lineage: Eukaryota; Metazoa; Chordata; Mammalia; Artiodactyla; Suidae. The record is from RNAcentral.